This 351-nucleotide ribosomal RNA is filed under the name Cherax quinquecarinatus. Its description in RNAcentral is "partial 12S ribosomal RNA". Lineage: Eukaryota; Metazoa; Arthropoda; Malacostraca; Decapoda; Parastacidae. The record is from RNAcentral.
UACUUGAAUAUUAAGAGUUAUGAGCUUUAAAUUCAGAGAAUUUGGCGGUAUUUUAGUCUUGUUAGAGGAACCUGUUCUGUAAGCGAUACUACACGUAGAAUCUUACUUACUUUUGUUUUUCAGCUUGUAUACCGUCAUUAUUAGAUAACCCUUAUUGGGUUAGUUAUUGAACUAUAAAAAAUUAAAUAUAUUAGAUCAAGGUGCAGUUAAUGGGUAAGAAGAAAUGGGUUACAUUGAAAUUUAUUUAGACGGAUUGGAAGUUGAAAGGUUUCUAUAAAGGAGGAUUUAAUUGUAACAUAAGUUUAAUAAGUUUAUGUGAUAUGAGAACUAAAAUAUGUACACAUACGCCCG